CCCCACCGUCAGUCUCCCCACUGCCUGUCUGUCUGUCAGUCUCCCCACUGUCUGUCUGUCUUGUCAGUCUCCCCACUGCCUGUUAGUCUACCUGUAUUUCAAUCUCAUGUCAUGGAGUAGCCUGCCUAGCGGACCAUGUCGAUGCUUUCCUCCAAGCCACGCGUGUCACUCAAUGACAUAAAGGUGGUCUAUGAGCAGCUGCUCAGUGCGGUUUCCCCUUAAUCUCCAUACUAUCUCUUUAUAUGACCUCCAUGCCCUUUCGAUGUGCUGGGUGUGGGCCCCUGUCUCAGCAUUGACAUAAGAGACACUGUGAUUUACUGUGAAAUGCCUGUAUCCCAGCUGCGGCAGAGCAUUUCGAUAGGCUCGCCACUCAUCACUGAUGACACAUGAGCCCCUUUUGACAUGAUGAGCUAUGAGUGGCACCAGUUCCCUCCUCCCCCUCUUCUCCACCAAGCGAAGCACCGGCUUCCCUGACGUCUUUGAGGGGGCUGCCCUGGCUGUCUUUGUCCUGGCCACCUCCAAGUUCUUUGCACCCCCAGCAUCCCGAACACCCACUUCCUCCGCUUCCAGCCCCCCAGCCAUCCUGCCCCUUCCAUACUAUGUUUUGGGAAAAAUGACAGAACAAGAAACAAGAGGUUAUUAACAUUGUGUCCAAUAAAUUAAUAAUGAUAGCGGGAAUAGGGGGAACUUCAUUUUCAUUAAAGGUGCAAUAUGUAGUUUUACAAUUGAGAGGACGAUCAACGAUGGGUUUUUUUCUUGAUGAUGCUUGCUGAUGUUAUUAUACACAUACACACAUGCUGCUACAGCUGUGCAGCGCCACAUCCAUUGUGCUUUGGCUCAGCUGAUCGGCGCUCAGACGGAGGUUAGAUCUUGCAGUUUUGAACUCUUUUUAUACACACAAAGUACAGCCAAAUACCAGGCUAAAAAAUACAGUAUAGAUCUCCACAUGUGGACGGUUGACCAGAGCAUGUGAGGGAAGUGAAGCAGGUCAGAAUUUCCUUGCUCCUUGCUCACAGACCUGUCCAAAAAAAAGCAGCGUUGUACACUUAAACCCAAACCUGGCAUCGUCAGAGUCCAGUAUGAGUUUUGUUUCGGGUCUCUUCCCUCCCACAAUUUGAAUUAUAAUUGAAUCAAUUACAUACUUUUCUAUAACAUGCAGAUCCAGCUAGAAAACAAAGUGCUUGUGGGUCUGGCAUGGAUGGCCCCGGAGCGAAAUUGGAGUGGGAUAGAGCAGGAGUGCUGGUCCAACUUUUAAAAUAAAAAUCCUCAACCUGCUCCCCGCUGGAGACCGCAUACGUGCACUGCGCCCAACUUUUACUGUUGCACUUGUAUUUGGUGCCUCUUGCAACUUCAAUUGGUAAAUGUCUUUGACAUAACAUCUAAACUCUUCUUUCUAAACAUAUUUCUGAUAAUUGUAAAUGAUUUUGUAAUGUUUUACCCCAAAAUUCUGAUCAAAUUUUACAUAUUGAAUCUUUAAUUAUUAUUGAAUAUACUACACAUUUAUUUUUCCACAUUGGUGAUGUGGUUAUAAUAAGUCUCGUUUCCAGACUCUAAUAUUUCAAAUUGAUUGUCUGGGGAAGUUCCGCCUCAAUUUUGUAAAAAUAAGUGGGUGCCUGGGUGGAAACGUUUUGUGAGUUUUAAAAAUACAGUUUUGCAAAACCAACCAACAGUGUUUUAGGGUGGACCAUAGGGUAGAGCCAUUCAAUUAGUUUGAGGUGUUUCUUUGUGGGGGUUUUUUGCCUUCUGUCAGCUCUCUCAACUUGGUUGCUAACUUUAACCCACGCAUGUUGUGCUCCUAAAAUGAACCGUGCAGCUAUGGAUAUAAUGUUGGGCUAUCCUGUUAAAAGUACUGUCCGUCCUGCCAGAAAACUCUACUCCUACAAGGCAAGCAGUUCGACUUGUUCCCCGCGAUAACUCCUGAGUUCCGGUGCGCGCUAAUGCUGCGUUCAUGAAAACUCGGAACUCUGGAUUUCCGCAUUGAAAACUCCCAUUUCUGUCUUCAAAGCGUUCCAGACAUUGUUGUGUGAUGUCAGACAACUGAUUCUCCAAGAAGUCUCUGAAUUUCCCGAGUGGGAGCACCAACAUUUGGUCGGUGCAUUUUUUAAAGUAGGAGGUCAGAAAAGCCUGAGUUCCGAGUUGGCUUGUACCCAUCAUAACUUUUUCUUCGCGUGCACUGACCGCUCAGACGCAGCAUCCAGGGUGAAGAAGGACGACGUGUCUCAAGAUGGAUGAGCUUGACAUCUAGCCUCCUCACAGGACCAGGCUAAACACAGAGAAGAAAAAAGCAGAAAAAGGAAAUUCUUCUGGAAAACAUGGUGAUAAGACUACAGAGGCCCCAACUGCCAAAGCUGCCAUGGACACCCUGAGAAAGUAGAGGGACAAGUGGAAAGCACGUGCUGAGUUCCUGGAGGAAAAACUUUGAGAUGUCACAUCAGAACGUGAUAUUUGCAGGACUCAGCUCUCUGAUGCUUUGGCAAGUCUCAAGGGUGCUCAACAGUCCAGAAGAGAAGACAGUGAUGAUGAAGCGAUGGGGCAUCUGAGAUGCAGCAUGACAGUGAAGACGACAGUGAGGACGACUCUGAAUCCAGCUCUGAUUCGUCAGAGAGUUCUGAUUCAUCGCCGGACAGAAAGAGGAAGAAGAAGGGGAAAGGGAAGAGAAAGAAGAGUGGGAAGAAGAGAAAGAAUAAGAAGGAGAAAAAGGCGAAGAAA
This is a long non-coding RNA of Epinephelus fuscoguttatus (brown-marbled grouper), 2709 nucleotides long. RefSeq lists it as uncharacterized. The transcript has 3 exons. The record is from RefSeq and is a predicted model, not a curated record. Lineage: Eukaryota; Metazoa; Chordata; Actinopteri; Perciformes; Serranidae.